RNAcentral lists this ribosomal RNA (254 nucleotides) under uncultured bacterium. RNAcentral describes it as "partial 16S ribosomal RNA". It matches the Rfam family "Bacterial small subunit ribosomal RNA", at positions 524 to 776 of the family's 1533-position model. The record is from RNAcentral.
UACGAAGGGUGCAAACGUUGCUCGGAAUUAUUGGGCGUAAAGAGCUCGUAGGCGGUCUGUCGCGUCUGCCGUGAAAACCCGAGGCUUAACCUCGUGGCUUGCGGUGGAUACGGGCAGACUAGAGGUAGGUAGGGGAGAAUGGAAUUCCCGGUGUAGCGGUGAAAUGCGCAGAUAUCGGGAGGAACACCGGUGGCGAAGGCGGUUCUCUGGGCCUUACCUGACGCUGAGGAGCGAAAGCGUGGGGAGCGAACAGG